AGGGCGUAUGGCGGAUGCCUAGGCUCACGGAGGCGAUGAAGGACGUGAUAAGCUGCGAUAAGCUUCGGGUAGGUGCAAAUAACCCUUGAUCCGAGGAUUUCCGAAUGGGACAACCUAGCCGUCUGAAGGACGGUUACUAGCACUUAAGUGUUAGAGCUAACGCAGGGAACUGAAACAUCUUAGUACCUGCAGGAAGAGAAAAUAAAUGAAUGAUUCCCCCAGUAGUGGCGAGCGAACGGGGAACAGCCCAAACCAGUGGCGUCGCAAGGCGUGGCUGGGGUUGUAGGACCGCGACAUUGUAUGCAAAUCGUGAACAGAACACUUUGGAAAAUGUGACCAUAGACGGUGAUAGUCCAGUAUGUGAAGCGAAAUGCAGCAUAGCGGUAUCCUGAGUAACGCGGGACACGAGGAAUCCUGCGCGAAUCUGCCGGGACCAUCCGGUAAGGCUAAAUACUCCCGUGAGACCGAUAGCGAACGAGUACUGUGAAGGAAAGGUGAAAAGAACCCCGAGCAGGGGAGUGAAAUAGUUCCUGAAACCAUACGCCUACAAGCGGUCGGAGCAUCUUACGAUGUGACGGCGUGCCUUUUGCAUAAUGAUCCUACGAGUUACCGUCACUGGCGAGGUUGAGUGUCAUGAGACACGUAGCCGCAGUGAAAGCGAGCCUGAAGAGGGCGCACAGUCAGUGGGGGUAGACGCGAAACCAAGUGAUCUACACUUGGCCAGGAUGAAGUCCCGGUAACACGGGAUGGAGGUCCGCACCAAUAAGCGUUGAAAAGCUUCUGGAUGAGCCGAGUGUAGGAGUGAAAGGCCAAUCAAACUUGGAGAUAGCUCGUACUCCCCGAAAGGCAUUUAGGUGCCGCGUCGGAUGGUCACCGUGAGAGGUAGAGCGACCGAUAGGACAAGAGGGCUUCACCGCCUAUCGAGUCCUGACGAACUCCGAAUGCUCACGGUUUGCAGUCCGGCAGUAAGGGGGCGGGUGCUAAGGUCCGUCCCCGAGAGGAGAAGAAUCCAGACCGCCGUCUAAGGUCCCGGAGUUCUGCCUGAGUUAGUCUAACGAAGUCUGGUCCCUAUGACAGCUAGGAUGUUGGCUUGGAAGCAGCCAUUCAUUCAAAGAGUGCGUAACAGCUCACUAGUCGAGGGUCCGGGCAUGGAUAAUAAUCGGGUAUAAGGCAGACACCGAAGGCGCGGGAUAGCAAUUUUAAAAGUAUCGGUAGGGGAGCAUACUCACAGCGUCGAAUGGUGUACGUAAGUUAUCCUGGAGCGGUGAGUAAAGCAAAUGUAGGAAUAAGUAACGAUAAGGAGGGUUAGAUUCCCUCCCGCUGUAAGACCAAGGUUUCCCGGGCAAUGCCAAUCAGCCCGGGGUCAGUCGGGUCCUAAGUCUAAGCCGAACGGCGAUGGCGAUGGCAGAGACGGUUAAUAUUCCGUCACUGCCGCAUGGGGCGACGUGGAGACGGAGCAGUGAAACCACCGCGGGGCGACGGAAGUCCCCGUUGAAGAGUGUAGGUGUUGAGGAUGGCAGGCAAAUCCACCAUCCGAGCUGAACUUGAUAGUAUGGAGUCUUCUUCGGAAGAAUCCAAUAGUGUGGGUAAUCAUACUCCCGAGAAAAUCCGCUAAGCUUAACCCAUGCGGCACCCGUACCGCAAACGGACACACGUGGUCGGGUAGAACAUACUAAGGCGUUGAGAGAUUCAUGGUUAAGGAACUAGGCAAAUUGACCCUGUAACUUCGGGAUAAAGGGUCCUCGUGAUGAGCGAGGCGCAGAGAAUAGGUCCAGGCAACUGUUUAACAAAAACACAGGGCUGUGCAAACUCGAAAGAUGACGUAUACAGCCUGACACCUGCCCGGUGCCGGAAGGUUAAGAGGAGAUGUCACUCGCAAGAGGAAGCAUUGAAUUGAAGCCCCGGUAAACGGCGGCCGUAACUAUAACGGUCCUAAGGUAGCGAAAUUCCUUGUCGGGUAAGUUCCGACCUGCACGAAUGGUGUAAUGAUCCGGACGCUGUCUCAACCAUGAGCUCAGUGAAAUUGUAGUAUCGGUGAAGAUGCCGAUUACCCGCGAUGGGACGAAAAGACCCCGUGAACCUUUACUACAGCUUAGCAUUGACCUUGGUCAUCCGAUGUGUAGGAUAGGCCGGAGGCUUUGAAGCGGGAGCGCCAGCUUUCGUGGAGCCAUCCUUGAAAUACGGCCCUUUGGCUGUCUGAGGUCUAACGCGCGCUGCGCGGACACUGCUUGGUGGGUAGUUUGACUGGGGUGGUCGCCUCCAAAAGCGUAACGGAGGCUUCCAAAGGUGCCCUCGGGUCGAUUGGUAACCGACCUCAAAGAGUGCAAUGGCAUAAGGGCGCUUGACUGGGAGGCAGACAUGCCGAGCAGGCAGGAAACUGGGGCAUAGUGAUCCGGCGGAUGUGUAUGGAAACUCCGUCGCUCAAAGGAUAAAAGGUACUCCGGGGAUAACAGGCUGAUCCCCCCCAAGAGCUCAUAUCGACGGGGUGGUUUGGCACCUCGAUGUCGGCUCGUCACAUCCUGGGGCUGGAGAAGGUCCCAAGGGUUGGGCUGUUCGCCCAUUAAAGUGGCACGCGAGCUGGGUUCAGAACGUCGUGAGACAGUUCGGUCUCUAUCUAUCGUGGGCGCAGGAGUUUUGAGUGGUGCCGUCACUAGUACGAGAGGACCGUGAUGGACAGACCUCCGGUUUACCAGUUGUGCCGCCAGGCGCACCGCUGGGUAUCUGAGUCUGGAUUGGAUAAGCGCUGAAAGCAUCUAAGUGCGAAGCCAGCCGCAAGAUGAGAACUCCAUUGAGGGUCGUCAAAGACGAUGACGUUGAUAGGAUGCAGGUGUAAAGACAGCGAUGUCAAAGCCGAGCAUUACUAAUUGCCCGAACACUUUCUUU
Molecule: ribosomal RNA, 2883 nt
Filed under: human gut metagenome
Description: bacterial LSU rRNA
Rfam family: Bacterial large subunit ribosomal RNA
Source: RNAcentral